This 402-nucleotide ribosomal RNA is filed under the name Pseudomonas sp. 1082a. RNAcentral describes it as "bacterial SSU rRNA". It matches the Rfam family "Bacterial small subunit ribosomal RNA", at positions 1103 to 1508 of the family's 1533-position model. The record is from RNAcentral. Lineage: Bacteria; Pseudomonadati; Pseudomonadota; Gammaproteobacteria; Pseudomonadales; Pseudomonadaceae.
CCUUGUCAUUAGUUGCUACGAAAAGGGCACUCUAAUGAGACUGCCGGUGACAAACCGGAGGAAGGUGGGGAUGACGUCAAGUCCUCAUGGCCCUUAUGGGUAGGGCUACACACGUCAUACAAUGGCUGGUACAGAAGGUUGCCAACCCGCGAGGGGGAGCUAAUCCCAUAAAACCAGUCGUAAUCCGGAUCGUAGUCUGCAACUCGACUGCGUGAAAUCGGAAUCGCUAGUAAUCGCGGAUCAGCAUGUCGCGGUGAAUACGUUCCCGGGUCUUGUACACACCGCCCGUCACACCAUGGGAGCGGGUUCUGCCAGAAGUAGUUAGCCUAACCGCAAGGAGGGCGAUUUACCACGGCAGGGUUCGUGACUGGGGUGAAGUCGCAACUAAGGUAGCCGUAUCGG